This 1676-nucleotide long non-coding RNA is filed under the name Pogona vitticeps (central bearded dragon). Its description in RNAcentral is "lncRNA (ENSPVIG00000011017.1)". The record is from RNAcentral. Lineage: Eukaryota; Metazoa; Chordata; Lepidosauria; Squamata; Agamidae.
AUGCUGAAGCUGCCCGGUCACACCACAGCCUCUGCCUCUUGCCCCUUCUUCUUUUGUGGGGAAGGGUCUCUCCCUCUCUCGGUCUCCCUCCAGAGCCCUCCCCGUCUCCUCCUUGGCUUGCAGACCCAACGGCUGGGGAAGGGAUUUUGUCCCCCACUCCCUCCAGUCGCUGCGCUUCCCGAGAUGAACGAAACACAACAUUCCAGGUGCAACAAACGCAAAUCUGUGGAAGGUGUCAGGAUCUGGCCUGUCGCCCCCCACUCCAGUGGGACCCCCAGCGCCCCCAGUGCUGCUGCUGCUGCUGCUGCUGCCCCCACGGCCGCUGGCUUUUUGCCCCACAUCUGGACGGCUGCCAGGAUCCCCGUUGCUCAGGACCCACAGGCUGCCAAGGGCCAGAGAUCCUUCCGUGGGGCCACCUGGAGGGCCCCCCAGAGGAGCCGGACCGCCAAGCCACCUGGGAGGGGCGAUGGCCUCCAGGACAGGCCUCCUUCCCGGGUGCCCUCUCCUCCUCCCGAACUCUCUCCCAUCCUUCUUUCCAGUUGUUCUACAACGCGGUCUCCAUCCACAACGGCUCUCCUGGAGGCCAGUCAGAACCUGAACCGAAGGCAGACCCUCCCACCCCCAUCGACUGCAGUGAUUUCUUCUACACGGACCCAGUGAUGGCUCCAGGACACCGGAUUUACAACUGGCUAUCCAGCUCCUCCCAGGAAAUCCUCCACCACCACCUGCACCUCAACACCCCGGCUCCCAUCAUGGCUAUCCGUGAAACUCCAGCAUCGGCACCACCCCCUCCUCCUCCUCUUCCUCCUCCAGCUCCUAAGCCUUCCACCUGCAGAGAGUGGCUCUCGGAUCUGGAGUGUGAAGUUGCCUGCGCCCUUCUGGAGCUGCCGGACGGAACGGAUUGGGACUCUGCUGGGGGCCGCCAAUCUCCUCCUCGGGUGGGAAAAGUGGAGGCGGGGAACGAGAAAACGACUGCUCCAGAUCGGCUCCUGUAAGCGGCCCGUGAUGGGGCUCUCAUGCCCCUGGGGGCAAGGCCAGAGAACCCCCUUCCUCACCUUAGGCCUGCCAGAGGUGUUUGGGGCUUUGGACCUCACAAUUCCUGGCCUUUGGCCAUGCUGGCCUGGGAUUCCUCUGGGCUCAGCUCCCAGAAUACCUGGCGGACCUGCACCUCGGCAGACGGAGACAUCUCUCCAGCCUGGCCCCAAAGGGCUUCUCCCUCAUGCUUUUGUGGGUGGAUGUGGCUGUAUUGGUUCUUGGAGGGGGGGGAAGAAGGCGGGAGAAGCCUGUGCAGAAAAGAGACCCUGAGCACCCCCAGCAGUGGAGCCAGGUGGAGGGGCAUUUAGACGGGGGCAAACAGGUGCCACUGGGGUAUCCGGUGGCUGGUUCACUUUUGAGAGGGUUGUUCCUGUUGCUUACGAGUUGAUUCCCCCGCCACCCCCGUUAGCCCUGGGUGGGAAAGUGUGUUUGUGUGUUGCUUGUUUUUUGGGGAGGGUGAGUGGGUGGAUGGGGAGGCCACCCUAGAUGGAGCUGGGAGCACAUCCGGUGGUGGACACACCCCUCCCUAAUUUCCCGUUUCUGUGUUCGUUGCACUUUGUUUCGAAAGCCCCCCCCCUUCCAAGGUGGGCUGGCUGCCGCGGAGGAAUAAAAUUCGUUCCACUCGUUCGGGAGGGGCCUGC